Long non-coding RNA from Adelges cooleyi (spruce gall adelgid), 435 nucleotides. RefSeq lists it as uncharacterized. Lineage: Eukaryota; Metazoa; Arthropoda; Insecta; Hemiptera; Adelgidae. The record is from RefSeq and is a predicted model, not a curated record. The transcript is spliced from 3 exons.
ACAGGUGUUAAUUUUCCUAAUAAUCCAGACCUAAAUUUUGCAAGACAUACUUUGACAGCACUAGCAGCACAAAGAAGAACUGUUACUCUGGUAGCUUUAAAACGAAUGAUGAACCGGAUAAUAGUUGCAAAUUUAUAUACUGUACAUUGGGGGUGUCGUUUCAUUGCGGUGUUCACCAGUGCAAGAUACCCUGUAUAUUUCUCACAAACUGUUGAUGACGACGAUGAUUUGUGUACCAUAUCUAGUAGGUAUGGAACCUUGCGAUAUAGAAAACUUAGGAACGGAUGGAAUGUAGUCGUCGGCAAUAACAUUAACGUUUUUGCACGACUCCAACCAGUACCAAUGUAACUCUUUUACAAUGAAAAUGUACUUUUAUUGUUUUAUUUAAAUAAUAUUUGCAUUUUACGCUUAUAUACCUUAUACCACUUAUAUCAC